AACGAACGCUGGCGGCAGGCUUAACACAUGCAAGACGAACGCAUCCUUCGGGGUGAGUGGCAGACGGGUGAGUAACGCGUGGGAACAUGCCCUUCAGUUCGGAAUAACCCAGGGAAACUUGGGCUAAUACCGGAUACGUGCGAGAGCAGAAGGAUUUAUCGCUAAAGGAGUGGCCCACGUCGGAUUAGCUAGUUGGUGAGGUAAAGGCUCACCAAGGCGACGAUCAGUAGCUGGUCUGAGAGGAUGAUCAGCCACACUGGGACUGAGACACGGCCGAGACUCCUACAGGAGGCGGCAGUAGGGAAUAUUAGAGAAUGGUGGCAAGCGUGACCAGCCAUGCCGCGUGAGUGAUGAAGGCCUUAGGGUUGUAAAGCUCUUUCGUCGGGGACGAUAAUGACGGUACCCGCAGAAGAAGCCCCGGCUAACUUCGUGCCAGCCGCCGCGGUAA
RNAcentral lists this ribosomal RNA (448 nucleotides) under uncultured bacterium. RNAcentral describes it as "partial 16S ribosomal RNA". It matches the Rfam family "Bacterial small subunit ribosomal RNA", at positions 29 to 523 of the family's 1533-position model. The record is from RNAcentral.